CCUACGGGGGGCAGCAGUGAGGAAUAUUGGACAAUGGGCGAGAGCCUGAACCAGCCAAGCCGCGUGAAGGAUGAAGGAUCUAUGGUUUGUAAACUUCUUUUAUAUGGGAAUAAAGUGAGGAACGUGUUCCUUUUUGUAUGUACCAUAUGAAUAAGCAUCGGCUAACUACGUGCCAGCAGCCGCGGUAAUACGGUGGAUGAGAGCGUUAUCCGGAUUUAUUGGGUGUAAAGGGUGCGUAGGUGGUUAAUUAAGUCAGCGGUGAAAGGUUGUGGCUCAACCAUAAAAUGGCCGUUGAUACUGGUGGACUAGAGUAUAGGAGGGGUAAGCGGAAUGCGGGGUGGAGCAGUGAAAUGCGUAGAUAUCACGCGGAACACCGGUUGCGAAGGCAGCUUACUGGACUAUAACUGACGCUGAGGCACGAAGGCGUGGGGAUCAAACAGGAUUAGAUACCCGAGUAGUC
RNAcentral lists this ribosomal RNA (460 nucleotides) under uncultured bacterium. RNAcentral's name for it is "partial 16S ribosomal RNA". It matches the Rfam family "Bacterial small subunit ribosomal RNA", at positions 338 to 795 of the family's 1533-position model. The record is from RNAcentral.